AAAAACUACCUCGACCAAACACUUUCACCUGAAGCGGGACAGACGGAUGGACAAACGAACGAACGAACGCACGGAUGCACAGACAAGAAAACAUAAUGCCCAUAAAUGGGGCAUACAAAUUUGUUGUUGAAAGUGAAAGUAGUGAUUUGGCAAAAAUGAAAGUAGGGUAGAGAUUAGAGGGAGGCAGGACCUUUUUCUGGACGUCGGGAUCGAUUGUUUUUAAGCUUGGGAUUUGGGGAUUGAUCAUUACGGGAUUUCGGGAUAUGAAUUUCUUUAAGUUCUGCAUCUCGGGUUU
RNAcentral lists this long non-coding RNA (295 nucleotides) under Mytilus galloprovincialis (Mediterranean mussel). The record is from RNAcentral. Lineage: Eukaryota; Metazoa; Mollusca; Bivalvia; Mytilida; Mytilidae.